AUUGAACGCUGGCGGCAUGCUUUACACAUGCAAGUCGAACGGCAGCGCGGGCUUCGGCCUGGCGGCGAGUGGCGAACGGGUGAGUAAUAUAUCGGAACGUACCCAAGAGUGGGGAUAACGUAGCGAAAGUUACGCUAAUACCGCAUACGAUCUAAGGAUGAAAGCAGGGGAUCGCAAGACCUUGUGCUCCUGGAGCGGCCGAUAUCUGAUUAGCUAGUUGGUGGGGUAAAGGCCCACCAAGGCAACGAUCAGUAGCUGGUCUGAGAGGACGACCAGCCACACUGGAACUGAGACACGGUCCAGACUCCUACGGGAGGCAGCAGUGGGAAUUUGGACAAUGGGCGCAAGCCUGAUCCAGCAAUGCCGCGUGAGUGAAGAAGGCCUCGG
RNAcentral lists this ribosomal RNA (387 nucleotides) under uncultured bacterium. RNAcentral describes it as "bacterial SSU rRNA". It matches the Rfam family "Bacterial small subunit ribosomal RNA", at positions 30 to 420 of the family's 1533-position model. The record is from RNAcentral.